RNAcentral lists this long non-coding RNA (249 nucleotides) under Physcomitrium patens. Its description in RNAcentral is "long non-coding RNA (PPAT_LNC013408)". Lineage: Eukaryota; Viridiplantae; Streptophyta; Bryopsida; Funariales; Funariaceae. The record is from RNAcentral.
AAGACUAAAGCAAUCGUUGCUGAAGUCAGUGUUGUAAUGGUGAAUCGGGAUUUUUUUAAUGAAGUGGGUUUGAUUACUCUUGACUGUUUUGUGAAAUCGAGUUACGUCUGUGAUUGAAGAAUUAAAAGGGUGUCUAUAGGAUUGAGUAUGCGGAGUGCAUGAAAUUUAUUGGGUUAAUCUAACAAGACAGUCAGUGGAUACAAGAUCGUAAGUACAAAGCGGUAUCGGAGAUUAGCAGAUUGGGUUGUU